UCAACUGGACAAUUGAUAACAUCCAGCCACAGUCAUUAUAAUGUCCAUGCACACAGCAGAACCUUGCUGCUAAAACAAAGGUUUUCUGAAGUACCACACACAGUACCAACAGUGACCCAAACUAAAAAUCCCCUGAGUGAAACGCUGCAUGACGAAAUCCCUUGAAAUAGAAACGAAGCCUUCCUUCCUAGGCUGCAGUAGUGUUUUAAGAUUUAACUUGUUUUCUACAUUUUCAACUUUAAAUAUUUUCCUUGUAAGCUAUUCUUACCUUUCCUAGCUUAAAGAAACAUUUUUUU
Etheostoma spectabile (orangethroat darter) is the source of this 296-nucleotide long non-coding RNA. RefSeq lists it as uncharacterized. The record is from RefSeq and is a predicted model, not a curated record. The transcript is spliced from 2 exons. Lineage: Eukaryota; Metazoa; Chordata; Actinopteri; Perciformes; Percidae.